Triticum dicoccoides is the source of this 388-nucleotide long non-coding RNA. RefSeq lists it as uncharacterized. The record is from RefSeq and is a predicted model, not a curated record. NCBI's taxonomy places the organism in Eukaryota, Viridiplantae, Streptophyta, Magnoliopsida, Poales, Poaceae. The transcript has 3 exons.
CCACCCGACGCUGGUGCCGGUUGGUUGCUCCUUCAUCGUCGUGUUCGCGUUGACCUCUGUGGGUUGCUGCUUCUCCAACAUCGUCUGCAAGAAGUGGUACAUCGACAUGAACAAUAGGCCAGCGAUUUGCUUUCUGCUCGGAUUACACUGCCUGCAGCCUCCUAUUUGUGACGCCGUGGAACCAAAGUUUACAGCUACUCGGAGAUCCUAAUUGCAGACUCAACUAUCUUGACCUACCGAUGAUCUAAUUUGUGGCGUUAUUACCUUAAGAAAAUAUUUGCAUUUAAUUUCCUUUAUAUAUAGUGUUAUAAGUUCUUACCAAAUGUACUCAAAUAUACAGUUACGAAAAAAUGCAAAUAUUUUCAACACGAACAUGGUUUUAAACGAA